UUUGUAGUCCAAUAUUUUUUUCCCAUUUUUUUUUGGCCUGCAGAUUAUCAUCUCCACAUAAACAGGCCUGCUGUCACAAUUAUCUAUAUGUAUGAAGGAAGAAAUAAUUAACAUGAAGCAGAAGGUUGAAGAGACAAAAAUGUGUGUGCAGAAAAGAAGCACAAAAAGAACUCUCCAGAGAUCUGGUAAACUCUAUGGGCUGGUUGAAACCAGAAGAAUGGGUAAACUCAGAACUCCGUGUGUCAGCUGAAUCCAGGCAAGGGUACUGUAUAUGGUUAGGUACCUAGACUGCUCCUGUCAGAUUCACAGAUCUGAAAAUGUGAAUGAAAGUACAUCUUCUGCAUUUGUGACCUUCAGCAAGAGCAAAAGUAAACUGAAGGUAAACAGCUUAGUGACAUUUCAAAGGUGGCAUGCUCUAGCAAAAAUACCCUGGAAGCAGAUGAGUAUACUUGUACAGUACAACAUCUCCUCCUUCCCCCGAGCACAUGAGAGAUUGCAUGCUUCUUUGGAGAAUUAAAUAUGCUUUGAUGCCCCAGAAACAGCAUGAAGGGGACCAGAUUCUGCCAGAUGAAACAGAAGUGUAUGGAACAUGUAAGCAUGAAAGGCAAGCUGUAUAAAAAUACUGUAAAAAACACGCUUUUUUUUUUCCUCUCUGAUAACUGAAAUGUAAGUUUCUGAAUUUGCAGCUGAGCUUCUCUAAUAUAUGCUGGUGUAUUUGGUUUACAUGGCAAGGUUUUGGUAGCAGGGAGGCUGCAGGGGUGGCCUCUGUGAGAAGAGCUCAUCGCCUACCCCAUGUUAGAUAAGGGACAGGGACCCCACAUGGA
Molecule: non-coding RNA, 824 nt
Organism: Anas platyrhynchos (mallard)
Lineage: Eukaryota; Metazoa; Chordata; Aves; Anseriformes; Anatidae
Source: RefSeq, a predicted model, not a curated record